RNAcentral lists this ribosomal RNA (253 nucleotides) under uncultured bacterium. RNAcentral describes it as "partial 16S ribosomal RNA". It matches the Rfam family "Bacterial small subunit ribosomal RNA", at positions 524 to 776 of the family's 1533-position model. The record is from RNAcentral.
UACGUAGGGUGCAAGCGUUAAUCGGAAUUACUGGGCGUAAAGCGUGCGCAGGCGGCUUUGCAAGACAGAUGUGAAAGCCCCGGGCUCAACCUGGGAACUGCAUUGGAAACUGGCGGGCUUGAGUGUGGCAGAGGGGGGUGGAAUUCCACGUGUAGCAGUGAAAUGCGUAGAGAUGUGGAGGAACACCGAUGGCGAAGGCAGCCCCCUGGGCUAACACUGACGCUCAGGCACGAAAGCGUGGGGAGCAAACAGG